UACGGAGGGAGCUAGCGUUGUUCGGAAUUACUGGGCGUAAAGCGCGCGUAGGCGGCAUCGCAAGUCAGGGGUGAAAUCCCGGGGCUCAACCCCGGAACUGCCCUUGAAACUGCGAAGCUAGAAUCCUGGAGAGGCGAGUGGAAUUCCGAGUGUAGAGGUGAAAUUCGUAGAUAUUCGGAAGAACACCAGUGGCGAAGGCGACUCGCUGGACAGGUAUUGACGCUGAGGUGCGAAAGCGUCGGGAGCAAACAGG
RNAcentral lists this ribosomal RNA (253 nucleotides) under uncultured bacterium. RNAcentral describes it as "partial 16S ribosomal RNA". It matches the Rfam family "Bacterial small subunit ribosomal RNA", at positions 524 to 776 of the family's 1533-position model. The record is from RNAcentral.